RNAcentral lists this ribosomal RNA (353 nucleotides) under uncultured bacterium. Its description in RNAcentral is "partial 16S ribosomal RNA". It matches the Rfam family "Bacterial small subunit ribosomal RNA", at positions 338 to 688 of the family's 1533-position model. The record is from RNAcentral.
CCUACGGGUGGCAGCAGUGAGGAAUAUUGGUCAAUGGGCGGAAGCCUGAACCCGCCAAGUCGCGUGAGGGAUUAAGGCCCUGCGGGUCGUCAACCUCUUUUGCCGGGGAGCAGUGGUCCGGACGCGUCCGGACCGGGAGAGUACCCGGAGAAAAAGCAUCGGCUAACUCCGUGCCAGCAGCCGCGGUAAUACGGAGGAUGCGAGCGUUAUCCGGAUUUAUUGGGUUUAACGGGUGCGUAGGGGGGCAUUUAAGCCGGCGGUCAAAUGUCGGGGCUCAACCCCGGCUUGCCGUCGGGACGGGGUGCUUGGAGUGGGCGGGAAGUAUGCGGAAUGCGUGGUGUAGCGGGGAAAUG